Molecule: long non-coding RNA, 351 nt
Organism: Gopherus flavomarginatus (Mexican gopher tortoise)
Lineage: Eukaryota; Metazoa; Chordata; Testudines; Testudinidae
Exons: 2
Source: RefSeq, a predicted model, not a curated record
CUCCCUUUGCUCCGUCCCCCCACCCCCCUGCCGCACUCCCCCUCAAGGACGGCUCGUGGUUCUGGGAUUCUGAUGAACAUAUUAAGAGUCACCUUUUCUAGGAACAUUUGAGCUUGGUGUAAAUGAGACAGACAAAUUUCCUGCCCUCCUAGCUCAUGGGAGUCCCAGGAUGGCUCUAAAGAAUAUUCCCAAGGGGACUGCAGGGUUUGAACAGCAAAACUUCAAACACCUGGUUUCCGAGAAGAGAAUCAGCUUCAAGCUCCAGACUCCAAGCUAUAACAUCGGAGUCGCACACGAAGCACAAGCAUGUUUAUUUGUUUAAAAAUAAGAUGUAUUUGAAAUUUUCAAGAA